RNAcentral lists this ribosomal RNA (743 nucleotides) under uncultured bacterium. Its description in RNAcentral is "bacterial SSU rRNA". It matches the Rfam family "Bacterial small subunit ribosomal RNA", at positions 94 to 823 of the family's 1533-position model. The record is from RNAcentral.
AGCGGCGGAUGGGUGAGUAACACGUGGGGAACCUGCCCCUAAGUCUGGGAUACCAUUUGGAAACAGGUGCUAAUACCGGAUAAUAAAGCAGAUCGCAUGAUCAGCUUCUGAAAGGCGGCGUAAGCUGUCGCUAAGGGAUGGCCCCGCGGUGCAUUAGCUAGUUGGUAAGGUAACGGCUUACCAAGGCGACGAUGCAUAGCCGAGUUGAGAGACUGAUCGGCCACAUUGGGACUGAGACACGGCCCAAACUCCUACGGGAGGCAGCAGUAGGGAAUCUUCCACAAUGGACGCAAGUCUGAUGGAGCAACGCCGCGUGAGUGAAGAAGGUUUUCGGAUCGUAAAGCUCUGUUGUUGGUGAAGAAGGAUAGAGGUAGUAACUGGCCUUUAUUUGACGGUAAUCAACCAGAAAGUCACGGCUAACUACGUGCCAGCAGCCGCGGUAAUACGUAGGUGGCAAGCGUUGUCCGGAUUUAUUGGGCGUAAAGCGAGCGCAGGCGGAAAAAUAAGUCUAAUGUGAAAGCCCUCGGCUUAACCGAGGAACUGCAUCGGAAACUGUUUUUCUUGAGUGCAGAAGAGGAGAGUGGAACUCCAUGUGUAGCGGUGGAAUGCGUAGAUAUAUGGAAGAACACCAGUGGCGAAGGCGGCUCUCUGGUCUGCAACUGACGCUGAGGCUCGAAAGCAUGGGUAGCGAACAGGAUUAGAUACCCUGGUAGUCCAUGCCGUAAACGAUGAGUGCUAAGUGU